Molecule: long non-coding RNA, 553 nt
Organism: Anopheles arabiensis
Lineage: Eukaryota; Metazoa; Arthropoda; Insecta; Diptera; Culicidae
Exons: 2
Source: RefSeq, a predicted model, not a curated record
ACUGUCAACUUUUGCCACACUUUUGUGAGCGCUAUCUAGUUCCUGCACGAAGGUGAACGAAAGAAUCUGCUAGCGAAGAAGAGCUUCCAGCGCAUCAGGGCGGACAUUUAUUUGAAGCAGCAGGUGCAAACCACAUCAAGAUGAUGCACUUUGCCGUCAACCGCACGAAUGGAAUGGAAUUUUGACGUCCUGAGAGAGGUGUUCCGCCUGCUUUGCCGUAACCACAAAUGCUGCUGUUCUGCAGAUUCGUUAGCCAGCAUGCGGAGGUUUGCAAAAGUGCAAAGAAGAAAAAAAGAGCAGCACAAUUGAAAGCGACUGAAGAGAGGAAAAGGGACAGCAUCGAACGGAAACCCUACGGCAAUCCUUUCAUCGGUGCACCUGCAACGAACCAACGGUAGCACACCAUGUGUGUGUGGGUAUGUGUAGCGCACCCAGAAGCCGCGGGUUUCGAUUAACGAACGACCGGCAACGCCGGUUUCGCUCAAUAGGAAUAGCAAAUUCAAUACAUUCCACCUUUUGCCGGUUGCGAUAAAAAUGAUCAACUUUUGCGGAA